This is a non-coding RNA of Paramuricea clavata, 396 nucleotides long. Lineage: Eukaryota; Metazoa; Cnidaria; Anthozoa; Malacalcyonacea; Plexauridae. The record is from the annotation of a GenBank genome assembly.
AGGAUACUAAACAACAUUUUCUCCCAAGGCUCCAACAUGUACAACGCCGUAGUCACUUCGUAUCUGUAUAUUGUCAGGUCAAUCCAUUCUUUUAAACCACCCAGCAUAUUUCAAAUUAUCAACUUUGCACGGUCCAAUAAACAAUUAUAUUUUACAAUUUUUCCAACAAUUUUUCGAUCUUUAUACCCAGAGUAUAUAAUAAUCUUCCUCCAAAUCUGUUACACUAACUUUUAAACUCUUUUUUCUUGUUUUUUUUAGCCGUAUUUUGAUAAAUUUGUGAUUGUUUCGAAAUCUAAAAUUUUAUAUUUUUAGCCAAGUACUGUCAAAAAGAUAAUUGCGCAUACUCGGCGCAGCUCGGUGAUUGUCGUUUUAUCUUCGGACAUUUUAUGCAAAUUU